RNAcentral lists this ribosomal RNA (468 nucleotides) under uncultured bacterium. Its description in RNAcentral is "partial 16S ribosomal RNA". It matches the Rfam family "Bacterial small subunit ribosomal RNA", at positions 28 to 507 of the family's 1533-position model. The record is from RNAcentral.
GACGAACGCUGGCGGCGUGCUUAACACAUGCAAGUCGAACGGAAAGGCCCUGCUUUUGUGGGGUGCUCGAGUGGCGAACGGGUGAGUAACACGUGAGUAACCUGCCCUUGACUUUGGGAUAACUUCAGGAAACUGGGGCUAAUACCGGAUAGGAGCUCCUGCUGCAUGGUGGGGGUUGGAAAGUUUCGGCGGUUGGGGAUGGACUCGCGGCUUACCAGCUUGUUGGUGGGGUAGUGGCUUACCAAGGCUUUGAUGGGUAGCCGGCCUGAGAGGGUGACCGGCCACAUUGGGACUGAGAUACGGCCCAGACUCCUACGGGAGGCAGCAGUGGGGAAUAUUGCACAAUGGGCGGAAGCCUGAUGCAGCAACGCCGCGUGCGGGAUGACGGCCUUCGGGUUGUAAACCGCUUUCGCCUGUGACGAAGCGUGAGUGACGGUAAUGGGUAAAGAAGCACCGGCUAACUACGUG